RNAcentral lists this ribosomal RNA (150 nucleotides) under uncultured bacterium. RNAcentral describes it as "partial 16S rRNA". It matches the Rfam family "Bacterial small subunit ribosomal RNA", at positions 366 to 507 of the family's 1533-position model. The record is from RNAcentral.
GCGCAAUGGCCGUAAGGCUGACGCAGCGACGCCGCGUGUGNGAUGAAGGUCUUCGGAUCGUAAACCACUGUCAGGGGGAACGAAUGCGGGACGUCNAAUANGCGAUCUCGAGUGACGGUACCUCCAAAGGAAGCACCGGCUAACUCCGUG